UAAGAAUAGUCUUAAGAUACAGUGGAACCCA
This 31-nucleotide non-coding RNA is filed under the name Mus musculus (house mouse). Lineage: Eukaryota; Metazoa; Chordata; Mammalia; Rodentia; Muridae. The record is from RNAcentral.